This 29-nucleotide non-coding RNA is filed under the name Mus musculus (house mouse). Lineage: Eukaryota; Metazoa; Chordata; Mammalia; Rodentia; Muridae. The record is from RNAcentral.
UGACAUGUUCCUUCAGUGCCCUGUACUGC